GAUGAACGCUGGCGGCGUGCCUAACACAUGCAAGUCGAACGAUUAGAGCAGAUGCUGGUGUGUCUGAUGUGGCGAACGGAUGAGUAACACACGGGCGACCUGCCCCCUUCAUUGGGUGAGAUACGGGAGACAGUGGGUAAUAAAGAAUACUUCAAGUCUUCCGCCGGGAGGUCUCGAGGAAACUCGGGCGGUUAGGGAUGGGCCCGCGGCCUGUCAGCUUGUUGGUGAGGUAUGGGCAUACCAAGGCAAUGAAGGGUAGCGGGGCUGAGAGCUCGAACAGCCACCAUGGGACUGAGACACGGACCAGAAGCCUACGGGAGGCAGCAGUGGGGAAUCUUGCACAAUGGGCGAAAGCCUGAUGCAGCGACGCCGCGUGCGGGAUGAAGGCCUUCGGGUUGUAAACCUAUUUCAGCAGGGACGAGGCGAAAGUGACGGUACCUGCAGAAGAAGCCCCGGCUAACUACGUG
RNAcentral lists this ribosomal RNA (467 nucleotides) under uncultured bacterium. RNAcentral describes it as "partial 16S ribosomal RNA". It matches the Rfam family "Bacterial small subunit ribosomal RNA", at positions 28 to 507 of the family's 1533-position model. The record is from RNAcentral.